UCCAAUCGAACCCGGAGAUAGCUGGUUCUCCCCGAAAUAGCUUUAGGGCUAGCGUUGUAUAUCAUUACCGGAGGUAAAGCACUGAAUGGCCUAGGGCCCUAACGGGUACCGAAGCCUAUCAAACUAAGAAUGCCGGAUAAUGUGAGUACAGCAGUCAGACUAUGGGAGAUAAGUUUCAUGGUCAAAAGGGAAACAGCCCAGACCCACAGCUAAGGUCCCAAAUAUGAUUUAAGUGGAAAACGAUGUGGAGUUGCGAAAACAACCAGGAUGUUGGCUUAGAAGCAGCCACUCAUUCAAAGAGUGCGUAAUAGCUCACUGGUCGAGUGACUCUGCGCGGAAAAUUCAACGGGGCUAAAAUCAUAACCGAAGCUUGGGAUGCAAUUAAUGCAUGGUAGGGGAGCGUUGUGUAAGGGGUGAAGUCACAGCGAAAGCGGUGGUGGACAUUACACAAGUGAGAAUGCCGGAAUGAGUAGCGCGAAUUAUGUGAGAAUCAUAAUGGCCGAAAGUCUAAGGUUUUUGGAGGAAGGUUCGUCCGCUCCAAGUUAGUCGGGAGCUAAGGUGAGGCCGAAAGGCGUAGCCGAUGCACAUACGGUAGAAAUUCCGUAACCGUCGAAGUAUUUAAGCAAAGGGACACUUUGGGAAGGUACAAGCCAGGCGUUGGUAGCCCUGGCCGUAAGGGACUGAAAAUUAGUAGGGAAGUGUACUGGAACAGAGGCGAGAAAAGCUUUGUGUAUAUACAAGACGCCCGUACCGCAAACCGACACAGGUAGAUGGGAAGAGAAUUCUAAGGCCAACGGGAGAAGGGUUGUUAAGGAACUCGGCAAGUUGACCCCGUAACUUCGGAAUAAGGGGUGCUCAUGAAAGUGAGCCGCAGAGAAUAGGCCCAGGCAACUGUUUACCAAAAACACAGGUUUGUGCUAAAUCGAAAGAUGACGUAUACGAGCUGACGCCUGCCCGGUGCUGGAAGGUUAAAAGGAGAUGUGCAAGCAUUGAAUUGAAGCCCCAGUGAACGGCGGCCGUAACUAUAACGGUCCUAAGGUAGCGAAAUUCCUUGUCAGGUAAGUUCUGACCCGCACGAAAGGCGUAACGAUUUGGGCGCUGUCUCAGCUGUAGACUCGGUGAAGUCUUAGUACCUGUGAAGAUGCAGGUUACCCGCGACUAGACGGAAAGACCCCAUGGAGCUUCACUGCAGGUUGAUAUUGGGAUUUGAUGCAGCAUGUACAGGAUAGGUAGGAGGCAAGGAGAUGGAUACGCCAGUAUUCAAGGAGCCGCUGUUGGGAUACUACCCCUGUUGUAUUGGAUUUCUAACCGGACGACGUAAAGCCGUUGACGGGACAGUGUCAGUCGGGCAGUUUGACUGGGGCGGUCGCCUCCCAAAGAGUAACGGAGGCGCCCAAAGAUACCCUCAGCUUGGAUGGAAACCAAGCGCAGAGUGCAAAGGCAAAAGGGUGUUUGACUGCGAGACCCACAAGUCGAGCAGGGACGAAAGUCGGGCUUAGUGAUCCGGCGGUGCUGAAUGGAAAGGCCGUCGCUCAACGGAUAAAAGCUACCCUGGGGAUAACAGGCUGAUCUCCCCCAA
This 1579-nucleotide ribosomal RNA is filed under the name human gut metagenome. Its description in RNAcentral is "bacterial LSU rRNA". It matches the Rfam family "Bacterial large subunit ribosomal RNA", at positions 828 to 2495 of the family's 2925-position model. The record is from RNAcentral.